Molecule: ribosomal RNA, 490 nt
Filed under: uncultured bacterium
Lineage: Bacteria
Description: partial 16S ribosomal RNA
Rfam family: Bacterial small subunit ribosomal RNA
Source: RNAcentral
AUUGAACGCUGGCGGCAGGCUUAACACAUGCAAGUCGAGCGGUAGCACAGGGGAGCUUGCUCCCUGGGUGACGAGCGGCGGACGGGUGAGUAAUGUCUGGGAAACUGCCUGAUGGAGGGGGAUAACUACUGGAAACGGUAGCUAAUACCGCAUAACGUCGCAAGACCAAAGAGGGGGACCUUCGGGCCUCUUGCCAUCAGAUGUGCCCAGAUGGGAUUAGCUAGUAGGUGGGGUAACGGCUCACCUAGGCGACGAUCCCUAGCUGGUCUGAGAGGAUGACCAGCCACACUGGAACUGAGACACGGUCCAGACUCCUACGGGAGGCAGCAGUGGGGAAUAUUGCACAAUGGGCGCAAGCCUGAUGCAGCCAUGCCGCGUGUGUGAAGAAGGCCUUCGGGUUGUAAAGCACUUUCAGCGAGGAGGAAGGUGGUGAGCUUAAUACGUUCAUCAAUUGACGUUACUCGCAGAAGAAGCACCGGCUAACUCCGUG